RNAcentral lists this long non-coding RNA (508 nucleotides) under Mytilus galloprovincialis (Mediterranean mussel). Lineage: Eukaryota; Metazoa; Mollusca; Bivalvia; Mytilida; Mytilidae. The record is from RNAcentral.
GUGGGAAAUUCAAUUAUGCAUCCUACAUUUCUUUGAAAUUCUAAAACUAUCAUUGACACCUGUACCUAACGUUCAUUUCAAGUAUUUUGUUGAAGAAAUAACGUGGAAAGAGCUUCUUCGCUCAGUCGUGCUAUGUAAACGUACACGGAUUUUACGUAUCCGUUUAUGGUCCAUGUUUUACCAGUCAAGUCAACAUCCGGUUUUGAAAAAUGUGACUUUAAAAAGGAAAAUAAAGCUCUAGACAACGUCAAUUUGCACAAAUAAAAAGUCUUAUGCAGAUAUGAUCACGCUGAUGUGCACACCUUGAAUGAUGCAAUGCCAAUUUUAACAGUUUAUGACAGAACAUCAAAUUUUUAUCAAAGUAAAGUUUAAUAUCGUUUUUAAUCUAAUGUCAAUCAUUGGGAUGGCCAUCUGACUACCAUAAUUGCCUUUUGUGACUUAGUCUUGGGGAUUAAAAUUCGGAUCAGAUAUAAAAUGUCCGGCUGGCUCAGAAAAAUUUUGGAAGCCC